This 4068-nucleotide long non-coding RNA is filed under the name Triticum aestivum (bread wheat). RNAcentral describes it as "long non-coding RNA (TAES_LNC007486)". The record is from RNAcentral. Lineage: Eukaryota; Viridiplantae; Streptophyta; Magnoliopsida; Poales; Poaceae.
UGGAUUAUCACUCAAGGAUUAUUGCUUGAAAGUUCAUACAUGGAUGCCAUCUUUGUCGCUUACCAAGUUAUAAAGAAAAUGUGCAUGUAUCAAGGGCAAACCACUAGAUUAAAUUUCAGGAUUAUCACUCUCGGAUGAGCUUGGACACCUUGAGGUUACAAUCAGGAACUCUUAUACUUCUCGAUCAUGCACAUCUUUAAUACGAAGUGACGUUGUUUUACCAACUACAUGUUCAUGUUUCAGAUUAUCAAGAAUGAUGAGCUCCAAGAACUCUCAUGGUAAAUGGAGGGUCUCUGAUGUUGCAAUAAAAAGAAAUGACAGAUGUUUUCUAGGAAGCCAUCUCAACAAGACAAAAUUGUAAAUCCUUAUAUUUUAGAUUUUCUGUCCAUCGUAAAUUCAUAAUGCAAUGUAGCGAUAAUAACAUCCAAAUGUCAUUUCUUUGAGCCCAUGACGGUGAGACCGACACGACCUCAGCUCGGCCAUGGCCGCCUCUCUGAACUGAAUGUUAUACCUCUACUACUUGAGGAGGGUAAUAGCUGUGAGAUGUACCUGACCGUGACAUCACCUAGGCCAUGUCCUCCUCCCUAAAACGAAUAUUAUGUCCGAAAUAUCCAAAAAAUGCUUAUUGAUACUACUGAUAUUGCUUUUCUACAGCUUGAGUAAGGUAAUAAACGGUGAGACGAACGCGAGCCGCAUCAUUGCCUCAGCUAUGUCCGCCUCUCUGAACUGAAUAUCAUGUCUGAAAUAUCCAAAAAGCUUAUUGAGAUAUUGAUAGUGCUUCUCUACUAAUCGAAGAAGGUAAUAGAUUUUCUAUGUGAUUCUUUUUUCCAAUUCAAUAAACUCGAGUUUCUUCUGGAUUAGUUAUUACCAAACCUACAGUUCUUUCUAUACUCAUGUGUUACUUUUUCAGUUGAACACAAUGAACUUUCUAUAGAAUUUCAUGGUUUUUGCAAAGUAGCUAGCUGGGUUGUUUUAUUCCUGCAUAUUCAGGAAUUUUGUUGUGAAGCUAAGGCUGAUGUUAAGACAAAGUCCACUCUGUCUAGAUUGGAUACAAUUGGAGACAUGCAUCACGUAAUAUUCAGGGGUGGUCAAAACCAUGUGAAGUAUUACAGUGUAAGUUUCUCUUCCGUACAUGAGUGUUAAAACUGUCGGUCAAUAUAUCGAUCUACUUUGAAAUUUUCUGGGUUUGCGUUGGGUUGGGUUGGUCUGGUAGUGGGUAGUAAAAUGAUCUGUUUGUUGGGGUCCAUCUUUUUUUCAGGGAUGUUUGUUAGGAUCCAUAGUCGAAGGGUAAAGAGAUGAGAUUCAUUGUCUGAUCCCCACGUCCGCAAUUCUAGCCCAUGGGUGCCGCUGCAUUGGCCUGCCCUGAGUCACCGGUAGCCAGUCAUACAUGCUGCUUCAGUGACUCGUACAUACCCCCUCGGCCUACUCACCGGCGUCGAGCGGCCAAAGCCCUCACUGCUAGCUCAAAUAGCCAUGGUGCCCAUGUACGAUGAUUGGAUCGAUUGGCCUAACCCAAUCCAUGCAUAUAGGAGGAGCGUAUCAUUGGCAUCAAUAUAUUUGGCUUAAAAGUUUGUAGAUGGACAAGCUCACACCAAAGAUGUCAUCUCUAUCGCUUAAUAAUAUAACAAGAUAGUGUGCAUUUAUCAACGCAAAUUAACCACUAGAUUGGAUUUCUGGAUUAUCACUCAAGGAUUAUUGCUUGAAAGUUCAUACAUGGAUGCCAUCUUUGUCGCGUACCAACUUAUAAAGAAAAUGUGCAUGUAUCAAGGGCAAACCGCUAGAUUAAAUUUCAGGAUUAUCACUCUCGGAUGAGCUUGGACACCUUGAGGUUAGAAUCAGGGACUCUUAUACUUCUUGAUCAUGCACAUCUUUAAUACAAAGUGAUGUUGUUUUACCAACUACAUGUUCAUGUUUCAGAUUAUCAAGAAUGGUGAGCUCCAAGAACUCAUGGUAAAUGGAGGGGCUCUGAUGUUGCAAUAAAAAGAAAUGGCAGAUGUUUUUCCAGGAAGUCAUCUCAACAAGACCAAAUGGUAUAAUCCUUAUAUUCUAGAUUUUCUGUCCAUGAUAAUGCAGUGUAGCAAUAAUAACAUACAAAUGUCAUUGCCAUCCAGCAUGUCAAUGCUCUCUUGAGUGGGCUUCAUUAGAUGGAGCAAUGGCUUCGUUGAGAACCAGGGAGUGUCAAGGUAUGUACUUAAUCGAGCUGUAGUUCUUGCAUUUAAUAACAGAUAGGCAGAGUCAAAGAAUGGCCAGAGAGCAUCAUGAAGUAAUGAUGGAAUUAUAUCCUGUUCUAGCUUCUGAAUUCUAAACCCAACAAUAUCCAAACCUUCUUAGAGCGUUAGUCACACUUGUGGCAGCAGAAGAGAUCUUGAUAAGAUGCUGCUGCUGCUUAGUGUUGCUUGCUGCAUAAAUUCGAUCUGGUGCAGUUUCUGCUUUGCAUGCUUGUCUAAGUGUUACCUUAAUGUCAAGAGAAUAAUCUUGUACAAUGCAUAUUUUAUCUGAUUUUUGCGUAUCCAACCCAUGUGCUUUAUAUUAACCGAACUGAUUUAAAUGUCAUACUCUUGUUUUGUAUGUCAGUGGCAUGUGCAUGUAAAAUCCUUUGCAGAUAGUACAAGAACAACCAAGCCUUCUUACAGAGUGUUAGAUUGCUUGAUGCUGCUACUUCGUAUGCUUGCUUAAGUGUCACCCCAAUGUCAAGAGAAUAAUCUUGUACGAUGAAUAUUUUACAUUUUUUUUGUUCUUGGUACUGUUGUUUUUUUGCUGAUCCACUACACUUGCUUUACAUUAACCAAAAUGAUUUGAGCAAGCAUACUAUUGUUUUAUUGCCGUGGGGUGUACAAGUAAAAUCCAUUGCAGAUACAAGAAUGACUUUUGUGGAGAAACAAAAUUCCCAGCCAUAUUAGCUUUGGGAAUAGUCAUCCUGCAACAUCUUCUUUAAUUCCUCUUGUGGCCAUGAAUCCGUUGGUUAUAAAGUUUGCAAUAACAAAACAACAUCGUGUUUCUUGUAUACUGGAACAUUUUUUUCCAUUUAAGGUAGCUGUUUAUUCAAUGAGAUUUUCUAACUUUGUCCUACUCUAUUAUUUGGUUUCUUGGGGCUUAUCUCUAGAUUAUGGUGAAGCAAGGGGGAGUUGCUUAUAUCCGAGUUGUUGCCACAAGCGACUUUCAUCCUCUAUUGUAGCUUUAGCGAAUAUAGUUGAUGCAUGAUUGCAGAUGCCAAUGAUAGGUGUAUAUGUGAGAAGAGUAUGUGCGUACAUUGGUGUAUGUCUACCAAUAAUGAUUACUAAAAUUCCAAAUUGCACAUAUUGACAGUGGAACCUCCCAGUUUCCAUUUCUCUUCAAGGCUACAUUUGCAUGUAAUUUUUUUUGACAACCAAAUUGCUACAUAGACUACUUUGUUUUAGUAGUGCAGUAUUUUAUGUUCUUCCAUCAGAGGUACUUCAUUCAUUUUUUUACACCUUUGGAUAUAUGACUUCAUCUUUCUUUUAUAUAUAAAAUAGACGCCAGAUGUGUGCAUAACUACUUCCAUGAUGAGCCGAUAUUUGUCGAGCAGGUCAUGCCACGUCUUCCCACCGAGAUCCAGUGGAGACAGCUGGGCCUGUAGCUCAGAGGAUUAGAGCACGUGGCUAUGAACCACCCACGGUGUUAGGGGUUCGAAUCCCUCCUCUUGUCGGUCACCAUCGAGCUCCAAAAUAUGUGAUGAUGUAAAUUGUUUUAUGUGAGAUGUUUAAUGUGUACCGGUGAUGCAGCAUUUUGGACUGCUCUGAAAUAUAAACGGGUAGCUAAUUUUAGGUUGCUUCAAAAUAUGGGCCAUGUAAAUGGAAAGUUCUAUGUCUGAGUCGGAUGUAAGGCUGCUUGUAAUGGGUAGUAUCAUAAGUUAGUAUCAUGCAUAUGAUACUAGUAUAUGAUAUUACCUCCCUAAUGCAUAGUAUCAUAGAUACUUUAUUUAUUGUCAUGCAUGACACAGUAGUAUUGCAUUUUUGCAUUUAUUAUUAUACGAUAUCAUAAUAUGAUAUUCAACCCUCUCUUUCUUCAUUUAAUUCUAUGUCAUCUCAUCUAAAUUGCCUAGUUGGC